GGGCUGCAGUGGGGAAUUUUGGACAAUGGGCGCAAGCCUGAUCCAGCCAUUCCGCGUGAGUGAAGAAGGCCUUCGGGUUGUAAAGCUCUUUCGCAAGGGAAGAAAACUUAACCUCUAACAUAGGUUGAGGCUGACGGUACCUUGAUAAGAAGCACCGGCUAACUACGUGCCAGCAGCCGCGGUAAUACGUAGGGUGCGAGCGUUAAUCGGAAUUACUGGGCGUAAAGCGUGCGCAGGCGGCCUGAUAAGUCAGAUGUGAAAUCCCCGAGCUCAACUUGGGAACUGCGUUUGAAACUAUCAAGCUAGAAUAUGUCAGAGGGGGGUAGAAUUCCACGUGUAGCAGUGAAAUGCGUAGAGAUGUGGAGGAAUACCAAUGGCGAAGGCAGCCCCCUGGGAUAAUAUUGACGCUCAUGCACGAAAGCGUGGGGAGCAAACAGGAUUAGAUACCCCGGUAGUC
RNAcentral lists this ribosomal RNA (457 nucleotides) under uncultured Methylophilaceae bacterium. Its description in RNAcentral is "bacterial SSU rRNA". It matches the Rfam family "Bacterial small subunit ribosomal RNA", at positions 346 to 795 of the family's 1533-position model. Lineage: Bacteria; Pseudomonadati; Pseudomonadota; Betaproteobacteria; Nitrosomonadales; Methylophilaceae. The record is from RNAcentral.